CCUCUGUGAUGAAACACCGAUUAGAUGUACGAUAGAAUCCAUUCCAUUAAACCAUGGGGACAAUAGAGGCAUUUGUAGAACA
Molecule: non-coding RNA, 82 nt
Organism: Triticum aestivum (bread wheat)
Lineage: Eukaryota; Viridiplantae; Streptophyta; Magnoliopsida; Poales; Poaceae
Source: Rfam